Mesocricetus auratus (golden hamster) is the source of this 128-nucleotide ribosomal RNA. NCBI's taxonomy places the organism in Eukaryota, Metazoa, Chordata, Mammalia, Rodentia, Cricetidae. The record is from Ensembl.
AACUGGGCCAUACCACCCUGAAUCCAUCUGAUCUUGUCUAAUCUUAGAAGCUAAGCAGGGUCGGGCCUGGUUAGUACUUAGAUGGGAACCCUCAAAUUUUCUUAAUGUUAAUGAAGGAGCAACAGUUG